This 198-nucleotide ribosomal RNA is filed under the name uncultured bacterium. Its description in RNAcentral is "partial 16S ribosomal RNA". It matches the Rfam family "Bacterial small subunit ribosomal RNA", at positions 328 to 539 of the family's 1533-position model. The record is from RNAcentral.
ACGCUCGACACCUACGGGAGGCGGCAGUGGGGAAUAUUGCACAAUGGGGGAAACCCUGAUGCAGCGACGCCGCGUGAGCGAAGAAGUAUUUCGGUAUGUAAAGCUCUAUCAGCAGGGAAGAUCAUGACGGUACCUGACUAAGAAGCUCCGGCUAAAUACGUGCCAGUAGCCGCGGUAAUCUGAGCGGGCUGGCAAGGC